GUAACACGUGGAUCAUCUGCCCUUUAGUGGGGAAUACCGUUGGGAAACCGACGACAAUACCGCAUAAGCUCGAGAGAGGAAAGCGGUUCUAUGAAAGUAGAAGCCGCGCUGAAGGAGGAGUCCGGGCGAUUAGCUAGUUGGCAGGGUAAUGGCCUACCAAGGCUGUGAUCGGUAGCCGGCCUGAGAGGGCACACGGCACACUGGCACUGAGACACGGGCCAGACUCCUACGGGAGGCAGCAGUGGGGAAUCUUGCCCAAUGGGGGAAACCCUGAUGCAGGACGCCGGUGAGCGAUGAAGCCCUUCGGGGUGUAAAGCUCUUUCGGCAGGGAAGAUAAUGACGGUACCUGCAGAAGCAGCUGCGGCUAACUACGUGCCAGCAGCCGCGGUAAUACGUAGGCAGCAAGCGUUGUUCGGAGUUACUGGGCGUAAAGGGUGCGUAGGCGGUCGAUAAGUAUGGUGUGAAAUCUCCCGGUUAACUGGGAGGGUGCGCUAUAGACUGCGGGCUAGAGUGUGGGAGAGGACA
This 525-nucleotide ribosomal RNA is filed under the name uncultured bacterium. RNAcentral's name for it is "bacterial SSU rRNA". It matches the Rfam family "Bacterial small subunit ribosomal RNA", at positions 110 to 660 of the family's 1533-position model. The record is from RNAcentral.